UUUCCGUAAGUGAACCUGCGGAAGGAUCAUUAUUGUAUAACCGAGGUGCGAGGGCUGUCGCUGACUCGAAAGGUCGUGCACGCCCGAGUGCCCUCACACACAUCCAUCUCACCCCUAUGUGCACCACCGCGUGGGUCCCCCUUUGGCUUGUUCGGAGGGGGGCUUACGUUUUCACACAAACUUUGUAUGCAGUGUAGAAUGUAUUUUUUGUUUUUGCGAUCACGCAAUCAAUACAACUUUCAACAACGGAUCUCUUGGCUCUC
This 263-nucleotide unclassified non-coding RNA is filed under the name plant metagenome. RNAcentral describes it as "partial contains small subunit ribosomal RNA, internal transcribed spacer 1, and 5.8S ribosomal RNA". The record is from RNAcentral.